This 465-nucleotide ribosomal RNA is filed under the name Vreelandella stevensii. Its description in RNAcentral is "partial 16S ribosomal RNA". It matches the Rfam family "Bacterial small subunit ribosomal RNA", at positions 338 to 795 of the family's 1533-position model. The record is from RNAcentral. Lineage: Bacteria; Pseudomonadati; Pseudomonadota; Gammaproteobacteria; Oceanospirillales; Halomonadaceae.
CCUACGGGGGGCAGCAGUGGGGAAUAUUGGACAAUGGGGGGAACCCUGAUCCAGCCAUGCCGCGUGUGUGAAGAAGGCCCUCGGGUUGUAAAGCACUUUCAGUGAGGAAGAACGCCUGGUGGUUAAUACCCAUCAGGAAAGACAUCACUCACAGAAGAAGCAUCGGCUAACUCCGUGCCAGCAGCCGCGGUAAUACGGAGGGUGCGAGCGUUAAUCGGAAUUACUGGGCGUAAAGCGCGCGUAGGUGGCUUGAUAAGCCGGUUGUGAAAGCCCCGGGCUCAACCUGGGAACGGCAUCCGGAACUGUCAAGCUAGAGUGCAGGAGAGGAAGGUGGAAUUCCCGGUGUAGCGGUGAAAUGCGUAGAGAUCGGGAGGAAUACCAGUGGCGAAGGCGGCCUUCUGGACUGACACUGACACUGAGGUGCGAAAGCGUGGGUAGCAAACAGGAUUAGAUACCCGGGUAGUC